AUGAUGAGAAUGGAGACCUGCCUUUUAACACAAGCUUACGGGCGCCGGAGGACAGGAAGGGAGAUGGCUCGGGUGAUGGCUCGUCUAAAGAAACUCAAAACUCUGCAGCCAGUAGGAAGGAUGGAGCCUUACCGAACAACAUGCCUAGAGGGGAUGAGGAGUAGCUGCUGGUCAGCCCUGCCAGGAGCCAUGAAAUGCCUGAGUUGGAACUACUGGGGGCUUGGGAACCCCGAGACGAAGAUCAGGGCUCAAAGAGUAGAGAUUAUGCAACAAUGUCUUGGUUUUGCGGGAUGCUUUGCGGUGGAUAGUGCUAGACUCAGCGGCAGAAUUGAUUUGUUCUGGUCAAGUGAUGUGAAGGUGAAGUUGAAAAACUAUAGUUCUGGAGACAUUGAUGUUACGGUCAAGAAAGAUGAUAUGUCUACUCCAGAAUGGAGAUUUACAGGCUUCUAUGGCGCGUCAAGGAAAGAAGAGAGGCACCAUAGUUGCCAAUGUUUGAGAAUGCUUCAUGCAAUACCGCAUCAGGCAUGGAUGUGUCUUGGAGAUUUCAAUGAGACACUAUUUGGCACUGAACACUUUAGCAGGGCUGCGAGGAUCUUGGGUUCUCAGGGGUACCGUACACAUGGGAUAAUAAGCAAGGGGGAGAUGAAUGUGAAAGCCCGCCUUGAUCGAGGGGUAGCAAACGAGGAGUUCCUACAAAGAUUUGACCCUAUACGUGUUCACCACAUCAGUGCGGUGGAAUUAGACCACUGCUUCGUGCUGGGACUUGCAGGAAUUCAAGAAAUUUUGCAUAAGCUCCAAAGCGACCUUGGAGCGUGUGGUGCCAAGGAGUUCAGGUGUCUUGGCAAAAAAGUGAAGAAACUACAAGCAAAACUGGAAAUCUUGAGGAGGCAAUCUGUUGGCAGGGGUCCGAAUGAUGAAGAAAAGGCCACGAUGAUAAAACUUUGUGAGGCCUUGAGGCAGGAGGAGGUAUGGAUGAGACAACGCUCUCGUGUGCCUUGGACCCGGAAAGGUGAUCGUAAUACGGCUUACUACCAUGCACAAGCGGCGCAACAAGAUAUGGUGGAGGUGCAGUCAUUCUAUCAGAAUUUGUACUCCUCGCAAGGAUAUAAUGAUAUGAAUGAGUUGCUGCAAUUUGACCCCAAGCGUGUGAUGGGUGAUAUGAACUUGGUGCUUGAUAGACCCUAUGAACCGGAGGAGGUCCGAACAGCUCUUUUUCAAAUAUCACCUUCGAAAGCUUUGGGAGUUGAUGGGUUUACUGCGGGCUUCUUUCAAAGACACUGGAAUAUCCUUCAAGGAGAUCUAGUGCCGGCUAUUUUGGGUUUUCUUAAUGGAGGCGGGCUACCAUUGGGGUUCAAUGACACAUCGAUCACACUCAUACCAAAGGUACGCAACCCUCAAAGUAUUGCUCAAUUCCGACCAAUCUCGUUAUGUUCGGUGCCCUACAAGAUCGGGGCCAAGAUGAUUACUAACCGCCUGAAAGAGUUUAUGGACACAGUGGUGUCGAUUAAUAGAGCUAAAAGUGCACUUUUCUUCUCGUCGAAUACUCUAGUGGGCAGAAGGAAAGAAGUGAAGUUGUUAUUAGGCAUCCAAGUGGACGCUUUUAGCGAUCAUUAUCUUGGAUUACCAACAGCGGUUGGGAGGAUUUCUAGUGGUACUUUUGAUCAUAUCUGUGAGCGAUCGUGGAGUAAAAUGAAUGGUUGGGCCAAGAGACAUCUAGCCUGCGCCGGAAGAGAAUCACUUAUACAGUCAGUUAUCCAAACAAUCCCAAUGUUCAGUAUGAGUUGCCUCCUUCUUACAAAAAAGGUAUGCAAAAGUUUGACUGCUAGCAUGGCAAAAUUCUGGUGGAGUGGUUCCCUUGACCGUCGAUCUCUGCAUUGGGUGGCCUGGGAUAAACUUGCAUCUCCGAAAGCUCGAGGGGGGGAGUUCAUGGAGGCCACGGAGCCGAAGACAUCAUCUGCCAUUUGGCGAGCGAUAGUAGCUGGCAGAAAGGAACUCGACGUUGGCCUGAUUAAAAGGGUGAGAGACGGGACUACUAUCUCCAUAUGGCAUGAUAGAUGGAUCACAGGUCUAGCCAGUAUAUCUCCCAUGGUGAUACCAGAUCUGAUCCGGGAUGUUUUUACUGCACCUGACGCUGAUGCUAUUCUUAAUAUACCAAUACGUUCGGGUGGGAGUGAUAAUUUUCUUGCUUGGGCCCAUGAAAGAAGCGGCAUCUACUCUCGUGAAUCAAAAAGAGUGUUCAGCUCUAGAAGAAGGGACGGUUACCGAAAUAGAGUUACUCUUGAUGAUGAUCAGCUUGACCCAUACACAUCGGCUAAGAGGAUUCAAGAGGACCUGACCUUGCUCGACAUUCCUCUCACAUGCUUCGGUGCUACCAGGUGGAGCGGGAGGUAUUGCACGUUCCAGUACUGCCUCGCUGGGAGCAAACCCCAUCUGGGGAUAUCGGAUCUGUUCAUUGGAGAGACCAUGGCGCUUCGAGAUGGAGUUAUAUUUGCGCCCUACACAAAUUCUCCCAUUUUUUUUGUCGAAGUCACGGGUUUAACCGGUGAUAAACCAGUUGGGCCGGCACGAGUACUCCCCCAUCCCCCCUCUAAAAAAUCCAUUCGUCUCCACCCCAAUCCCCGUCAAGUGUGGUCGGGCGGCCUACCACGUACACAUAGAGAGCAAGACGCGGAGCUACCGCGUGAGAAGAGCAAGCAAGCUCAACAAUCGCCGCAGGGCAGGGGCCGCCAUGAGCACUGGCUCCGACCUCAACGAGUCCGCGGCAACGACGACGGCAGCUACCUCCUUCGUGUCCUCAUCAUGCUCCCUGCAGCCGCAGACGCCCCCGCCAACCGCCGGGUGAAGAAUGGCCCGGAGGCAGAGGAGGUGUGGUGUAGUUCGCAGUGGGAGGCGGCGUGGCCACGGAGGGCGCGGCCGGUGGUGCUCGCCGGGGAAUACGGGACCCCGGACGGUGCCAGGGCAGGCGCCAGGGAUUCCAAGGGCGCAACUUGGGGCGUGCCAGGAGCCUGAUGGAUGACGACCUGGAGGAACUCAAGGGGUGCGUGGAUCUGGGGUUCGAUUUGCAGCAGCAGCAGACCCCCCGCCG
This 3085-nucleotide ribosomal RNA is filed under the name Triticum aestivum (bread wheat). RNAcentral describes it as "partial small subunit ribosomal RNA". The record is from RNAcentral. Lineage: Eukaryota; Viridiplantae; Streptophyta; Magnoliopsida; Poales; Poaceae.